RNAcentral lists this ribosomal RNA (501 nucleotides) under uncultured Desulfobulbus sp. Its description in RNAcentral is "bacterial SSU rRNA". It matches the Rfam family "Bacterial small subunit ribosomal RNA", at positions 887 to 1382 of the family's 1533-position model. Lineage: Bacteria; Pseudomonadati; Thermodesulfobacteriota; Desulfobulbia; Desulfobulbales; Desulfobulbaceae. The record is from RNAcentral.
GCCCGCUCAGAAACUUAAAGGAAGUUGACGGGGCCCGCACAAGCGGUGGAGUAUGUGGUUUAAUUCGAUGCAACGCGAAGAACCUUACCUGGUCUUGACAUCCCGGAGACCCUUAGGAAACUAGGGGGUGCUUCCAUCUGGAAGAAUCUGGAGACAGGUGCUGCAUGGCUGUCGUCAGCUCGUGUCGUGAGAUGUUGGGUUAAGUCCCGCAACGAGCGCAACCCUUGCCUUUAGUUGCCAGCAGUUCGGCUGGGCACUCUAAAGGGACUGCCGGUGUUAAACCGGAGGAAGGUGGGGAUGACGUCAAGUCCUCAUGGCCUUUAUGACCAGGGCUACACACGUACUACAAUGGCCGAUACAAAGGGCAGCGACACUGCGAGGUGAAGCCAAUCCCGUAAAAUCGGUCUCAGUCCGGAUUGGAGUCUGCAACUCGACUGCGUGAAGUCGGAAUCGCUAGUAAUCGUGAAUCAGAAUGUCACGGUGAAUACGUUCCCGGGCCUU